Molecule: ribosomal RNA, 564 nt
Filed under: uncultured bacterium
Lineage: Bacteria
Description: bacterial SSU rRNA
Rfam family: Bacterial small subunit ribosomal RNA
Source: RNAcentral
CCUCGGGAAGGCAGCAGUGGGGAAUUUUCCGCAAUGGGCGAAAGCCUGACGGAGCAACGCCGCGUGAGGGAUGAAGGCCUCUGGGCUGUAACCCUCCUUUAUCAAGGAAGAAGAUCUGACGGUACUUGAUGAAUAAGCCACGGCUAAUUCCGUGCCAGCAGCCGCGGUAAUACGGGAGUGGCAAGCGUUAUCCGGAAUUAUUGGGCGUAAAGCGUCCGCAGGCGGCCUGACAAGUCUGCUGUUAAAGCGUGGAGCUUAACUCCAUUUCAGCAGUGGAAACUGUCAGGCUUGAGUGUGGUAGGGGCAGAGGGAAUUCCCGGUGUAGCGGUGAAAUGCGUAGAUAUCGGGAAGAACACCAGUGGCGAAAGCGCUCUGCUGGGCCAUCACUGACGCUCAUGGACGAAAGCCAGGGGAGCGAAAGGGAUUAGAUACCCCUGUAGUCCUGGCCGUAAACGAUGAACACUAGGUGUCGGGGGAAUCGACCCCUCCGGUGUCGUAGCCAACGCGUUAAGUGUUCCGCCUGGGGAGUACGCACGCAAGUGUGAAACUCAAAGGAAUUGACGG